AAGCUCGUAGUUGAAUUUCGGGAUCGAAUUGUUGGUCGUGCUUCGGUACGCACUGGCAUUAUCGGUUCCUACCUUCUGAAGAACCGCGAUGUCAUUAAUUUGGUGUCGUGGGGAAUCAGGACUGUUACUUUGAAAAAAUUAGAGUGUUUAAAGCAGGCUUACGCUUGAAUACAUUAGCAUGGAAUAAUGAAAUGGGACGUUUGAUUCUAUUUUGUUGGUUUCUAGGAUCGACGUAAUGAUUAAUAGGGAUAGUUGGG
Molecule: ribosomal RNA, 257 nt
Filed under: uncultured Glomus
Lineage: Eukaryota; Fungi; Glomeromycota; Glomeromycetes; Glomerales; Glomeraceae
Description: partial 18S ribosomal RNA
Rfam family: Eukaryotic small subunit ribosomal RNA
Source: RNAcentral